RNAcentral lists this ribosomal RNA (467 nucleotides) under uncultured bacterium. RNAcentral's name for it is "bacterial SSU rRNA". It matches the Rfam family "Bacterial small subunit ribosomal RNA", at positions 917 to 1382 of the family's 1533-position model. The record is from RNAcentral.
GGGCCCGCACAAGCGGUGGAGUAUGUGGUUUAAUUCGACGCAACGCGAAGAACCUUACCAGGUCUUGACAUUGAUGGACAGAACUAGAGAUAGUUCCUCUUCUUCGGAAGCCAGAAAACAGGUGGUGCACGGUUGUCGUCAGCUCGUGUCGUGAGAUGUUGGGUUAAGUCCCGCAACGAGCGCAACCCCUAUCUUAUGUUGCCAGCACGUAAUGGUGGGAACUCAUGAGAGACUGCCGCAGACAAUGCGGAGGAAGGCGGGGAUGACGUCAAAUCAUCAUGCCCCUUAUGACCUGGGCUACACACGUACUACAAUGGGCUUUAAUAAAGGGAAGCGAAGUCGCGAGGCGGAGCAAACCCCAGAAACAAGCUCUCAGUUCGGAUCGUAGGCUGCAACUCGCCUACGUGAAGUCGGAAUCGCUAGUAAUCGCAGGUCAGCAUACUGCGGUGAAUACGUUCCCGGGCCUU